Molecule: ribosomal RNA, 1279 nt
Filed under: metagenome
Description: bacterial LSU rRNA
Rfam family: Bacterial large subunit ribosomal RNA
Source: RNAcentral
CACAGGUAGGCGGGUAGAGGAUACCCAGGCGCGCGAGAGAACUAUCGUUAAGGAACUAGGCAAACUGGCCCCGUAACUUCGGGAGAAGGGGUGCCGGGGAACGGGGAGGCUGUAACGCCGAACUCAACUCCGGUCGCAGCGACAGGGCUCGAGCGACUGUUUAACAAAAACACAGGUCUCUGCUAAGGGGAAACCCGCAGUAUAGGGGCUGACGCCUGCCCAACGCCAGAAGGUUAAAGGGAGAGGUGAAGGGGAGCCUUCGGGCAAACUGGCAGCUUUGAACUGAAGCCCUGGUGAGUGGCGGCCGUAACUAUAACGGUCCUAAGGUAGCGAAAUUCCUUGUCGGGUAAGUUCCGACCUGCACGAAUGGCGUAACGACUUGAGCGCUGUCUCAACGAUAGACUCGGUGAAAUUGUAGCACCUGUGAAGAUGCAGGUUACCCACAAUAGGACGGAAAGACCCCGUGGAGCUUUACUACACCCUGUCAUUGUGUUCUCUGCUGGUCUGUAGAGCGUAGGUGGGAGCCCGCAAGGGCGCCAAUGGAACACCACCCUGGCCAGUGGGGAGCACUAACCGGUGCGGGUUCGCAGCCCGACCGAGACCGUGGCAGGCGGGUAGUUUGACUGGGGCGGUCGCCUCCCAAAAUGUAACGGAGGCGUCCAAAGGUUCCCUCGGCCUGGUUGGAAAUCAGGCGCAAAGAGUAUAAGGGCACAAGGGAGCUUGACGGUGAGAGCGACAGCUCGAGCCGGGACGAAAGUCGGGCCUAGUGACCCUCUGGUGGGGUGUGGAACCGCCAGGGCUUAACGGAUAAAAGUUACCCCGGGGAUAACAGGCUUAUCUUGCCCAAGCGCUCACAGCGACGGCAAGGUUUGGCACCUCGAUGUCGGCUCGUCGCAUCCUGGGGCUGGAUUAGGUCCCAAGGGUUAGGCUGUUCGCCUAUUAAAGCGGUACGCGAGCUGGGUUCAGAACGUCGUGAGACAGUUCGGUCCCUAUCCAUUGUGGGCGGAAGAGUAUUGAGAGGAGCUGCUCCUAGUACGAGAGGACCGGAGUGGACUGACCGCUGGUGUACCUGUUGUUGCGCCCGCAGCAGAAGCAGGGUAGCUAUGUCGGGAAGGGAUAAGCGCUGAAAGCAUCUAAGCGCGAAGCUCGCCUCAAGAUGAGUACUCUCACCAGGUUAGCUGGGUAAGGCCCGUGGUAGAGAACCACGUUGAUAGGCGGUCCCUGGAAGCGCUGCAAGGCGUGGAGGGCAGCCGUACUAAUCGGCCGAGGGCUUGAUCAU